This is a small nucleolar RNA of Tachyglossus aculeatus (Australian echidna), 68 nucleotides long. RefSeq annotates it as small nucleolar RNA U54. The transcript has a single exon. NCBI's taxonomy places the organism in Eukaryota, Metazoa, Chordata, Mammalia, Monotremata, Tachyglossidae. The record is from RefSeq and is a predicted model, not a curated record.
UGGCUAUGAAGAGAAAACUAUGCAGAUUGAAGCCCCGUGAUGGUUUUAUACGCUAUUCUGAGCCAACG